Molecule: long non-coding RNA, 767 nt
Organism: Gadus chalcogrammus (walleye pollock)
Lineage: Eukaryota; Metazoa; Chordata; Actinopteri; Gadiformes; Gadidae
Exons: 7
Source: RefSeq, a predicted model, not a curated record
AAAGGCCAAACUCACGCUACCUGCAGGAGCCAACUGGAAGAGCCCAGACCACUAGGGGCCCGCCGCAACACUAUUUUGAAGGUGUGGACACUGAUGACGAGGCACCACCCCCCCUAAGGAAAACAGCACGACAAUCUGUAGAUGUAGGGCCAGACAUCAAUAGUGAGUGGCUAUUUGGGCCAUCGACCACCCAAAGAGCUCAAUCAAAUGGCAGCCAGAGACUUGAGCUACUACAUCUAGAUACAGUCCAACCAAGCCACCAGCUAUUGCAUGAUAUGGGAAUAUCUAAAGUCGUGGAGCUGCUUUCCAAAGUGCUGGAAGAAAAUAAAUUGAUGAAAGCGGAAAUUACCAACCUGGGGAGUGAAGUGAGGGCGCUUAGGAGAGAGAUGGUGAGGCCGGUAGCACCAGAAGCUGCCGCUUCGUCCAUCAAGCUGCCUCUGAGGACAAUGGAGGAGUUUCAAUUAGCAGAGGCUGUUAUGAGAGAAACCCCCUGCGAAAAACAAAAGAUGAUCUUAACAUUCAGUCUAAUUGGAGGGCACACUGCAGAAGAGGCCGUAAGAAGGAUGUUGCAGAGUGGCCUAACCAAUAACCUGGCGUGUCGCUUCAACUGGGCAGGGAAAGGCUUCAAGGAAGCCUUCAAAAGCACUGUCCUUAGUGAUGUACUGUUCGGUAUGUUUGUCAAAACUCAGUCACAACACACAAGCAUUAGACACAGAUACCACUGAUUAAAAUAAAUGCUUUUAAAACAGCAAGUCGAUUUUUUAAUA